GAUGAACGCCGGCGGCGUGCCUAAUACAUGCCAGUCGAGCGAACGGACGAGAAGCUUGCUUCUCUGAUGUUAGCGGCGGACGGGUGAGUAACACGUGGAUAACCUACCUAUAAGACUGGGAUAACUUCGGGAAACCGUAGCUAAUACCGGAUAAUAUUUUGAACCGCAUGGUUCAAAAGUGAAAGACGGUCUUGCUGUCACUUAUAGAUGGAUCCGCGCUGCAUUAGCUAGUUGGUAAGGUAACGGCUUACCAAGGCAACGAUGCAUAGCCGACCUGAGAGGGUGAUCGGCCACACUGGAACUGAGACACGGUCCAGACUCCUACGGGAGGCAGCAGUAGGGAAUCUUCCGCAAUGGGCGAAAGCCUGACGGAGCAACGCCGCGUGAGUGAUGAAGGUCUUCGGAUCGUAAAACUCUGUUAUUAGGGAAGAACAUAUGUGUAAGUAACUGUGCACAUCUUGACGGUACCUAAUCAGAAAGCCACGGCUAACUACGUG
This 497-nucleotide ribosomal RNA is filed under the name uncultured bacterium. RNAcentral's name for it is "partial 16S ribosomal RNA". It matches the Rfam family "Bacterial small subunit ribosomal RNA", at positions 28 to 507 of the family's 1533-position model. The record is from RNAcentral.